AAACCUGACUUCCCUUAAACAUCUGGGUUUAGAUUCCAACUACUUCAACUCUUCAAUUCCCAACUGGUUGUAUAGAUUUAUCCAUCUUGAGUACCUUAGUCUUCGCAACAAUAAAUUGCAAGGUACAAUUGACUCAGAGGCUCUUGGAAACUUGACUUCCAUCAGUCGGCUUGAUCUCUCAUUAAAUACUGGUCUUGAAGGGAGAAUUCCAAGAUCCAUGGCAAGUCUUUGUAAUUUGAAGUCAAUCAAUCUUCGGGGUGUCCAUUUGAGUCAAGAAAUUUCUGAGAUUUUAAAUAUUUUCUCCGGAUGUGUUUCUAUUGAAUUAGAGAGUUUGGAUUUGCGAAGUAGUUCAAUAUCAGGACAUUUGACUGAUCAGCUUGGGCAAUUUAAAAAUCUUGACAAUCUUGAUUUAGCUAACAAUUCUAUUGUUGGUCCUAUUCCACAGUCAUUGGGUCAUCUCUCAAACUUGAGAGUACUACAGAUAUAUAAUAAUAAGUUAAACGGAACUCUUUCUGAAAUUCACUUUUCCAAUUUGACAAAACUGUCAUGGUUCAGGGUCGGCGGAAACAAACUGACGUUGGAAGUAAGGCACGAUUGGAUUCCUCCUUUCCAACUCGUUGCAUUAGGAUUCCAUAAUUGUUAUGUAGGGUCUCGAUUUCCUCAAUGGCUUCAUUCACAAAAGCAUUUACAGUAUCUCAAUUUACUCAACUCAGGAAUGUCAGAUUUGUUUCCCAUUAGAUUUUUGAAAUCUGCUUUCCAAUUAAAGUUUUUGGAUCUCGGCCUUAACCAAUUUCACGGGCAGAUAACUGAUCUAACCAAGGUUACUCAACUUUUGUUUCUUAGCGUGCAUUCGAAUAAUAUGUCGGGUCCAUUACCCCUUAUAUCAUCUAAUCUAGUUUACCUAGAUCUUUCUAAUAACUCAUUCUCUGGAUCAGUUUCUCAUUACUUGUGUUACAGAAUCAACGAGCCAAAGAGCUUAAUAGGUCUCAAGCUGAAGGAUAAUUCUCUANNNNNNNNNNNNNNNNNNNNNNNNNNNNNNNNNNNNNNNNNNNNNNNNNNNNNNNNNNNNNNNNNNNNNNNNNNNNNNNNNNNNNNNNNNNNNNNNNNNNCAAAUUCACUGGGUAGUUUAACUUCUCUUAUUUGGUUGCUUCUUGGUAAAAACAGACUGUCUGGGACAAUACCUGUUUCUCUUAAAAAGUGUACAGCAUUAGAGUCACUUGAUGUUGGUGAAAAUGAGUUUGUCGGCAAUAUUCCAACAUGGACUGGAGAAAGAUUUUCAAGAAUGGUUGUUCUCAUCCUUCGUUCCAAUAACUUUCAUGGCCCUUUACCUACAAGAUUAUGUGAUCUAGCUUUUCUUCAAAUCUUGGACCUUGCGGACAACAAUCUCUUCGGAACCAUACCAAAGUGUAUUAAUAAUAUCACUGGCAUGGUGGCAGCAAACUCUUUUACACGCAGUUCUCAGCAAUAUCUACCUCUUCCAUUAGACGGCGAUGUAAUUCUUACAGAGAAGGCAUCGGUUGUGAGCGAAGGAGAAGCGAUUGAAUAUGAUGAGAUACUUAAUUUGGUAAAGGAGACAGAUGUUUCCAGGAAUAAUUUAACAAAAAAUAUUCCUCUGGAAAUGACAAAUCUUAAAGCAACGCAGUCAUUGAAUUUUUCACACAACUCUUUCACAGGCAGAAUUCCUGAAAGUAUUGGCGCUAUGAGAUCGUUAGAAUCCAUUGAUUUUUCUGUAAACCAACUGUCGGGUGAAAUUCCACAGAGCAUGUCAAAUCUAAUGUCCUUGAAUCAUUUGAACUUAUCCAACAACAAGUUGACUGGGAAAAUUCCUUCAAGCACUCAACUGCAGAGCUUCGAUGCAUCUAGUUUCACUGGCAAUGAUCUCUGUGGAGCUCCUCUUCCUAAGAAUUGUGCUGAGAAUGUUUCAGUUUCUGAAGAUGAAAAUGGAGAUGAAGACGAAGACGAAGUGGACCACUGGUUGUAUGUAAGUAUUGCACUUGGAUUUGUGGUGGGAUUUGGGUGUUUUAUAGGCCCUUUGAUUUUCAAUAGAAGAUGGAGGUACAACUACUAUCACUUCCUAAAUCGCCUUGAAAAUAUAAUUGUCGGUGUUGUAAGAAAAUGUAGCUAGCUAGAUUUUCCCUGUUUAUGAGUUGUUCUGCUUCAUGUAAUUUUACUAAAUAAACGAACGGCCGUUCAUUUUUUUUUUUCCUUAUGCCUGAAAGGAGAAAUUAAUGUGAGAUUAUAUUCAUAUUACAAAUCAUAGGGGCCUUUCAAACUCAACUAAAUUAACUUUGAUAAAUUUAAAUUUUUGUUGUAUUUUUAUUAUGGGAAUAAAUUUCCUGUGAAUGACUUGAUAAUUUAAUUUUGCCCUAUCGAAUAGUUAAUUCAAAUUCAAUUGAUUAAAUGUCUAGAUAAAUGAAGGUACAAAUAUUAUCAUUCCCUGAAUCGCCUUGGGGACAGAUUUUUUGGUGUUGUAAGAAAAUGUUGCUAUAUUUUCUGUGUUAUUUAGUUUUUCUGCUUCAAAUAUUACUGAAAUAAACGAAGGGCUAUGAUNNNNNNNNNNNNNNNNNNNNNNNNNNNNNNNNNNNNNNNNNNNNNNNNNNNNNNNNNNNNNNNNNNNNNNNNNNNNNNNNNNNNNNNNNNNNNNNNNNNNAUUGUCUUCGAUUUCUAGCUUUUCUAGUCCCCUAUAAUUGUCAAGAAACCAAAUUCGUCUUUUUUCAUUUGUCUGUGAAUAAAAGUUUUUUUUCUCAAAUAUUCUUUAUUGAUUUCAAAAAUUUUCUCUAAAACAAAUAAUUCAUUAUGAUCGGUUAUAGAUGAAUGUGUAGGUGACAUUCUCGGAGACUUCAUUUGUGUACUUUCACUUCGGACAUAUUCAGGUUCGUUAACAGGAUAAUAUGGAGUUGAUAUGUUUGAAGAAAUUGUCAUUGUCUACCUAGCUAAGAUCAAUUCUUAUUGGAGGCCUAAGAAAUGAAAAACUGGAGGCUCUAGUUGGUUCUCUUGAGGAUUAUCCAAAUUUCAGCCCGGAGGAUCCUAAGUUCAAGUUUGAGAUUCUCUGUCUGGCAAAUGGUGUUGUUACACUACCAUCAGCUUUUGUUUCUAUUUCUUUUAGUUAUGUGUUUUGUACUAUUUUAAAUUGUAUAUUUUUUUGUAUUAUCUAUUUUUCAGUGAGUGUAAUUUGAUCUCAUUUAAUAGAUUUUGAAAUAGUUACAUUUGCUUUGUGGAGAUCAGUUUGUAAUAUAAAGUUUUUUCUUUUGGGAUCUGUUUUAAAUCUUUUGUGUUGAAAGCAGAGAACAUUGCUUUGUAGUGAAUUCUAUGUAUUAAAGUUACAGGAAGUGUUCCUGGUAUGAUUUUAUAAUUGUGUUUUAAUAUUCAAAGUUAAGACAUCCAAUAUAUUUUUCUCAUUUAAUGAAACUGUAAAACUUGGAUAACAAUCAAAAUAUUGGUCCAUUGCCAAGACUUGUUUAUCUCAAUGGUUUAAAUCCAAUUUGUACUAAUCCAACUUCACUUUUUUAUCUCAACAGUUCUUUCUUCAGUUUUGAAAAUAUUAUCAGAUUUAAGAAAUUUAAUCUACAACUAUAUUUUUAGAUUUUGUUUGCUGGAAUUAUUGGAACUGACCAUGUAUCCCAAUUGCCUAAAGCAAAAGUAUUGGCAUAAUUUUGGUCAUUUUCUUCAGGAAAUUUGAUUUCUUCUUGGUUCACGAUUCCGUCUCCAGUACGAGAACCGAAGGCAGACAUUGAUCUAGAUAAAUAGUUCAUUAUUAAAACAUUUUUCUUUUAUUUUCCACCUAUUACGGUUGCUGACGAACAGUCUUACGACGCCAUACUUGUCUUAAAAUGCCGGGACCAUAACCGCAAUGGUUUAGCGUCAGAUAAAAUUAAAUAUUUUUCAAAUAAACUCAUGUAAGUACAUCUCUACUCCUCUCUGGCUCUGAUACCAAAGAGAUGGGAUCAAGUACACCAAAUUAAAAGCUGAUUUUUUAAUAAGUUUCGCUUAUUUCCGUUUUGAGUCUAUUUUGUAGGCUUAUUCUUUUAGAAAUAUGAAGCAGAUCUUCAAAAGGUCUAUCAUAUGACUCAAAACAAAAUUAUUCAGCUAUUAAAAAAAGAGAUUUUGUCCAUCGGCUUGUGCACUAUAAACUUUUAAAGUGGUUUAUUAAAUAAAUAAAAAUUAUCAUUGUACCACUUUUAUUUUGCCUUAUGUUCAUCCAACCACUACAAAAUUCUAACAUGUACUUUGCACCACCUUUCUUUUUACAUUUGUAUCAACUAGCCACUUUUGCAUUAAUACUAUUAACUAAUUUUAAUAAAAUAAUAAUUUUACCCCCAAAUAAAUUAAAAGACUAUUUUAUUUUAUAAAAACUUUAAAAAUAUAUAUAUAAUGAUAAAAAUAUUCCUAAAUUUAAUAAAAAUAAAUCCCAAAAUUAGAAAUUUUAUUUUUAAUAAAAAUUAUUUUAAUAAAAAUUAUAAUUAUAAAAAUAAUUGUAAAAUUUUGGGAUUUAAUAAAAAUUCCCUAAAUUAUUAAAAUUUUAGGAUUUAUUCUUUUAAGAAAUAAAUUCAGUUAUUUUAAUAAAAUUUUACAAAAUUAUAAUUUUUAAUAAAUAAAUUCAUUUAUUUUAUUAAAAUUUUGUAAAAUUAUAAUUUUUAAUAAAAAUAAUUAUUAAAAUUUUGUAAAAUCUAAAUUUAGUAAAAAUCAGUUGAGCACCUCUAUUUGAGAUUUAUUUUUUAUUAAAUUUAGGGAUAUUUUUAUGAUUAUAAUUUUUAAUUUUAAAAAUUUUAUAAGAUAAAAUAAUUUUUUAAUUUAUUUGGGGGUAAAAUUGUCAUUUUAAUAAAAUUAUUUAAUAGUGUAAAGUGGGUAGUUGAUACAAAUGUGAAAAAAAAUAUGAUGCAAAGUACGUGUUAGAAUUUUGUAGUGGUUGGAUGAAUAUAAAACAAAAUAAAGGUGGUGUAAUGAUAAUUUCCCAAUAAAAAAUUUCUUGCAUGUGUUAAUUGAAAAUUUGCAAAAGCCUUCCUACUGUCUCUAAAAGUGGGGGUGGACAGAAUCAAUUGGACCUCAAAACAAUACGAUUUGAUUCAGUUUUUUUGGUUUCAGUUUGGUGUUCUAUAACUAAAAAAAAAAAAGAAAUGGAAUAAUACGAAAUCGAAUCAGAUGGUUCGGUCCAAUUUUUGGAUCAAAAUACAUCUGUUGUAUUACAACCAAUUAAUACAUGUAUGACAUAUGUAAUUGAGUUUAAUACAACCACCAUUUGCAUAAUAAUUUAAAAAAUAAAUACACAUAUAUCAUGACAUUAUUUACUUGUUGUAUGGGUGACAUGGUACAACAGUUGUAUUCAAGAAUUUCUCCAAAAUUAGAAAAUUGGUACCGAACCAAAUUCAAUGGCAUUUCUAUAAUUGUAAAUCUGUAUGUAUGUAUGUAUGUAUUUAUGUAUGUAUGUGCGUGUAUAUAUAUUUUAACACAUAUGUUGGCGACUUGGCGUAACAAUUUAAUUUAAGGUAUAAAAGCAAAAAUAAAAAUCAAUUUCAACCAAUGGGCCUUUGGUCUAAUGGGAGAAGCCUUGCACUUACAAUGUUGAGUGCAAGGGUUCGAGUCUCCAUAAGAGCAUUAUGGAGGUUAGUUUCAGUUCUUCCUCAAUUAUUAAUUAAUUGAGUGGAGACAGUCUCUCCCUUACAAAAUGUGAGUGGAGCAGGCACCCCUCGAAUAUUAAAGAGGGUUUAAAUCUGUAUAACAGAUUUCAAAAAAAAAAAAAUCAAUUUCAAUUCCUAACUGCUAACUUUCAAAUCUAACCCUCCAGCAGCAAUCUCUCUCAGGCCUCGCAAACAACAAUUUCUCUCUCCGACGGCCUGAACUGUCACAGACUCAUCCCUCCCGCACGGUCAUCACUCACGGUCUCACUCUCACUGUCAGCUGCCACUAGCGCCCGUCACUCACGAGUCAGCUGCGGCUUGUCUGCUGUCAUCUUUGCUAACACCCAUCACUUACGAGUCAGUCACCGCUCGUCUGCCUCAUCUUUGCCAGCCACCACUGGUAAUCUCAUUCACCUCGCCAGCCAUUGCAGCCUCUCUCCGUCAUUGCUGUUGCAUCGAUAAAGGUAAUAAUUCUAUGAUCUUUUUUUUUUCUUUAUUUAUUUAUCUCACUUAGGAUUUUGUUGUGUUUGUGUGUGAUGUGUGGUGAGGUUAAACUAAAAUGCUCCGAUUGUAACAGAUAGAACCGUAGAAAUAGAAAUAUAAGAAAGAAGACGAAGCAUAAACAAGCAAAUGAUCUGCGCAAUAUAGAUGGGCAGAACCAGAAUAGACCCAAAAAAAUUUGUUCGGUUCGUUUUUUUAAGUUCUGGUUUGGUAUUUUAUAACUAAAAAAACCGAAUAGGUUAAUGUCGAAAAUGAACUGAUCAGAGGAGGAUGCCAUUAAGAAUCUGGCUGUUUGGGCAACGCUAAACAUCCCUAUUGAAUAAUUUGAUUAACUUUUCUUGGAGAGGCUUGAAAGCAAAAUCGGACGGAUUGUCAAAGUUGACAAGACUACUUCUUGGCUGAAAGAGGGAUUGAAGUGGAUCUAAGGAAGUCAUUACUUUUGAAGAAUUGAGAACAAAAAGAUAGACCUCAUUUGCUUUAAGUGUGGGUUUUAUGGACAUAGAGUGGAGCCAUGUGAGGUGGGCAGACCAGCUAAAGUCGAACCGAUUUGAACCGGUGUCCCCCACUACUGUAAAGGGAAUUUCUCUAAGGGAGAUAAAAAUGACACCUAAAUCCUAAAAGAAGAAAAUCACUAAAAAAAAAAAAUCAAAAGCAGUUUAUUCUAAAUCUUCUAGUACUCAAAAAUCAUGGUAUAAAAUUAUUUGUGAAGAUGAAAAAGCUCAUCAAGCUCAAAGAGAAGGCUACAAAUAGUUCUUCUCCAAAAGAUUUGUCAAAAGAGAAACUUAUCCAAUUAUGGAUUUUAUCACUCGGAAAAAUUCCCAUGAAGUAACUCUUGCUAUAUCUCAGGCCAAACCAGAGCCAGAAGUAAUUCCGCAAUAAAUUUUGAAAUCAUCAGUAAAGAUAGCUCUUUCUUUGAACAAAAAUAAAAAGGUUGUUCUUUGAUACCUCUCAAAAGCUAUUUUCAAGAUUAAAAUAUAUUGAAAAACCUUUAAAAUAAAAAAAUUUUGUUUUGGAAGAUAGUAAAAAAUCGUCCUACAUAGGCAACCACCUACUUGCUCCCUAUGCUGCCUCAAAUGAGUAGUUAAAACUAGUUUCACAUUACAACUUUCAGCGUCUUCCUUUCCUUUCACUUCGCAUUGCCUAUCCAUAAACCUGUCCAUGUCCUUCUUGUGAAGACAAGUAAUUUAGACCAACAUGUAAUUGAGAAAAGUUUCUAGGUCGUUGUGCAGAAUUCGUUUUACAGAUAAAUUUGCUAACGUGGCCAAAAGCGGUUAAGGGUUAUUAGCUGCUUGCAGAAAUUUUCAGAAACACCAGCAUAAAGAGGCUGUUGUACAACAUCUGAUGCAUGGGCUUUUUCUAAUUCAUUUUUUAACCAAAAUGUGUGAUUCUUAAUUCUGAGUAAAGCUUUUAAUCUUCUCUGGAAAAAGAUGACUGUUUUUGGGGAGCUUUAGUAAUGAAAGCACGUUAGUUUUUCCUUCAAAUAUUAAAGCUUGAUUGUUGUGGUAUUUUCUGAUUUCGUUGAUUUUGUUGAUUUGUUCUCUAUUCAUGCUUUGAAUUGGAGUUUCUUGGAAUAAUUUGUCUCAAAGUACAAAAAAUGGUGUUAGAGCAUUAGUUGGUUCUCAACCAUGUCACUUCUAAGACUAGAAAUUGAGAAAUUCACCAUUGGUGGUGAUUUUUCACUUUGGAAAAUGAAGAUGACGACUCUUUUUUCAUCAGGAUCUUGAAUCUGUUCUAGAAGAAAAAGAUUCUAGGAAAUAUCAAGUUCCGUCUCUAAUGACAAGAAAAGACAGAUCUUAAACAAAGCUCAUAGCAACUUGAUUUUGAGUUUAAUGACUCAAUCUCAAGGGAGAUUUUAGGUGAAAAAAUAGCUCCAGGUGUUUGAAAUAAAUUGAAGGAAAUAAAAUAGAGGCUUUGUGAAUGAAGAAGUCACGUGCUCACAAAAUGUUCUUAAAAAAAGAUUGUAUACUUUUCAAUGAAAAAAUGGUUGUCAACACAAGAGCAUAUUGAUAUUUUCAAUAAGACCAUUCUUGAUCUUAAGGAGGUUGAAAAUAUCAAGAUUGUGAUGAAGAUAAGACUUUUCUCUUACUGAGUUCAUUGCCAAAGUCCUACGAGGACUUUGUUGAUACCAUGUUAUAUGGUUGAACAACUCUUACAUUAGAAGAUGUGAAGGCUUCCCUAUGCUCAAAAGAAAUUUAAAAGCAUUCAAAGGACUUGGAUAUAAAUAUAAGUAACGUUUGAUGGCAAAGGUUAAAAAAAAAAAAGAAACCUAGGAAGAAAAAGAAGAACAAGAAUUAGUAUAUAUAAAAAAAAAGAUGAGUCUGACAAGGAAAAGAUAAAGAGAAUAAAUUGUUUCUAUUGCAAGAAAUCUAGUCAUUAGAUUACGAGUUGUGCUAAGAAAAUAGAGAUAAUAAGAAGAAAUCAAAUGAUCAUGUUGUGGCCCAGAUGACUCUUUUGAUUAAGGCUAUCAUAGUGUUGAUUUGCUAUAUGCAUCAAAUGAAAAGAUUAGAUGUCAGUCGGUUCUUGACUCUAGAUGCUUUUUACAUAUAAGUCCAGAUAAGAGUCCUUUUCAUGAUUAUGAAUCUAUUGAUGGUGGUCGAGUCUUGAUUGGUAAUUAUAAUGCUUAUUAGAUUGUUGGUAUGGGUUUUGUCAAAAUCAGAAUAUAUAAUGGAACCACAAAGAUACUAGAGCAUAUAAGGUGUGUGCCUUGACUACAGAAGAAUCUGAUUUCUUUAGGCAUGCUAGAUAGAUCAGGUUACUUCUUUAAAUCAAACUAUGAUGGUUUAAAGAUAAUGAAAAAGGUGUCAAGAAGAAUAGACUCUGUUUGUUGGAAAACUCAUUUGUGCAUGUGUUAUCCGUUUAGCACAUAAAAACUUAUAUUGAUAGAGCUAAGUUGUGGUAUCUAAAACUUGGCACAUGAGUGCUAAAGGUUUGCAAGAAUUGAGUAAACAUGGGUUAUUGUGUGGUGAUGACAUUAAAGAACUGGAUUUCUAUGAAAAUUACAUCUUUGGGACGGGAUACAGGGUAAAGUUUGUAAACUAAGUGCAUAAAUCUAAGAAUGUAUUGGAUUAUAUACAUUUUGACUUGUGGGGGCCUGCUCAAAUUCCAUCUUUAAGUGGUGGAGAGUACUUCAUAACAUUAAUAUAAGCCUACUCUGGGAAAGUAUCACUGUAUGUUCAAAACAAAGGAUCAUCCUCUUAAAAAUUUCAAAAUUUGGAAAGCUCUUGUUAAAAAUUAGAUGGUAUGAAGGUAAAUGCAUUAAGAACUGAUAAUGGACUUGAAUUUUACAAUAAAGAGUUUGAAGAAUAUUGUCAGAGGUGUGAGUUAUUAGAAAUAAGAUUGUUAAAUUCACUGUUGAGUUAUUAGAAAUAAGAUUGUUAAAUUCACUGUUCAACAAAAUGGCUUGACUGAGAAAAUGAACAUGAUCCGUAUUGACAAAAGAAGAUAUUAGCUAAUAAACUCUAAGUUACGAAGAAGCUUUUGGGUAGAUGUUAUUACCACAACUUGUUACUUGGUCAACAUAAGCCCUUCUUCAGCUCUAAAGUUCAAAACACUAGAAGAAUUUUGGACCGGUGUGCUGCAAGUUACAUGCAUCUUAAAAUAUUUGAUGUCCAGCAUAUGUCCAUAUUAAGAAAGACAAGCUUGAUGCAAGGGCUUUAAAGGUGUACUUGUGGAGUAUCUAGAGAGAGUUAAGGGCAUAAGGUCUAAUGUGAACUGCUCACAAGUGUAUUAUUAGUAGGAUGUAGUGUUUCAUGAGGAAACGCUGAUCAAGAAGCCUAACAUUGCAACCUUUGAUACUAAUUCCUAUAUUGAUGAAUUUAGAAGAAGAUACCAACUGUGAAAUGUCCUAAAGUUGAGGUAGAGUCAUCUAGUAGUAGUAAAAAUAAAAUAAAAGAUGACGAUUUUGGAGAAUCUCUCAAGGAAGAUUGGAAAUAGAUGAAUCAAGAAUACUUAUCCUUGACUUACAAGACUACCAAUUAGCAAGAGAUAAAAUCAAAAGGGAUAUCAAACCACCUGACCUAGAAUAAUUGCAUAUGUACUCAUCAAUGUAAAAGAUAUAGUUGUUGAAGAGUCUAGAAACUAUUUAACAACAUUGAAAAGCAGUGAUAGUGGCAAAUAGGUCAAAGACAUGACUGAAGAAAUGGAUUCCUUAAUUAGAAAUCAUACUUGGACUCUUGUUCCAAAUCCAAAAACAGAAGACUAGUUAGUUGUAGAUGGAUUUUUUUUUUUUAAAAAAAAAGGAGUCCAAGUGCUAAAGGUUCAAGAUUCAAGGCAAGUUAAUUUAUAUGGGAUUUGUAGAAGAGAAUGUGUAGAUUUUAAUAAGGUUUUCUCUCCUCUAGUUAAACACAAUCUAUAAGGAUAUUGCUAACUAUGAUAGCAUUACUUAAUUUAGAGCUUGACCAAAUAGAUGUAAAGACUGCUUUUUAUAUGAAAAGCUUGAAUAGAAUAUACUGAUGACAUAGCUUGAAAGAUUUGAAGUUAAAGGGAAAUAAGAUUGUGUUUGUCUUCUAAACAAAUCUCUUUAUGGCCUUACGUAGUUCUAAAGGCUAUGGUAUAAGAGAUUUAAUGAGUUUAUGGCCUCAAAUGACUAUUUUAAAAGUAAAUCUAAUAGUUUUAUCUAUUUUGGAGGCUUUAAUUUAGGUAAAGUAGUUUAUUUUCUACUAUAUAUCGAUGAUAUAUUGAUUACCAAUAGAAACAAAGGUGAGAUUAGGAAGGUUAAAGGUCUAUUAAGCGGAGAAUUCAAAAUGAAGGAUCUUGGUUCUGUUAAAAGAAUACUUGGCAUGGAAUUAUCAUAUAUAGAAGUGUUGGAACUUUUUUUAUAAGUCAACAAAAGUACAUAUAAAAAGAUUCUUGAUACGUUUGAUAUGUUGAAUUGUAAACUGUUCAGACUCUUCUAGGCCAUCAGUUUAAACUCUCUAAAGUACGAAUACCAGUGACACGACAAGAUAAGUUCUUAACGUCUGAGAUACCAUACGCUCAAGCAGUUGGAAGUCUUAUGUAUGCAAAAGCGUGUACAAGGCUAAUAUUGCUUAUGUAUUCAGUAUUGUUUGCACAUUUAUAAGUGAUCCUGGUAAGGUGCUUUGGGAUGCCAUAGAGUCGAUUAUGAGAUACCUUAAAGGCACUGUAAUCAUGGUUUGAUGUGUUGAAGAGCUACACAGGAUGAAAAUAAAGUUGUAGGAUAUAUUGACUUUGAUUUUACUAGAGAUUUAGCUGGCAAAAGUCAAUCUCUAGCUACUUAUUCAUGGUGAUUGGUUGCUUGGUUAGUCAGAAAGUAAAUCUACAGCCUAUUGUUGCUUUGUAAUCUCUAGAGACAUAGUUUGUUGCUCACUACGAGAAAAAUAGUAUUUGGUAAUACUUAGCUCGUGACACUUUAUUAACAAAUAUCAGUAUUUAUAUACAUGUAGACCAUUUUCCAUGUUUACUAUAUAAGUAUCACAAAGUACUGAUAUUAUGGUGGCUCUAAAUUUUACAUCAAAGAUCACUACUACUAAGGUGUCAGUAAAAAAAAUCAAAAUAAUUCUAAUGUUAUUUCAAAUAGAACUUGAACCAAAGGCCUAUAAAAAUCAAGCUUUUAAGUCUUAGACAAAAACCAUUCAAAAUUGUGAUAAUGACACUAAGGUAUCACUAACAAUUGAAAAAAAAAAUGCGCACACAUUCGCACGUGAUACCUCACAUCUCACACUCAUAAGGCGCCAAAAAAAAAACCCUAAGUCCCUAACAAUUAACAUUACAAUACUUUAAAAGAAAGAGAGGUGUUGUUGCUCUCAAUUUAGUGCUCCACCACCGGCUCACGUCUCAUACAUUCCCGUUAAUGUGUCAAGCCUCUUUAUCACGCCGUCAAGCCUUCGUUACGGGUCACAGCGUCAAGCCUCUCUGUCAUGCCGUCAAGCCUUCAUUACAAGUCACAGCGUCAAGUCUCUCUGUCAUGCCGUCAAGCCUCCGUCACGUGUCACCGCAUCAAUGAAAUGCAAGUUAUGCAACUUAAGAGGGGGGUGAAUUGGGAUUUUAAAAAUUUAAGUUAAAUAAAUCACACAACACUUCAAUCUAAUGUCUUAAUAAAUUCAAAAACAAUAAAUUCAAUAAAUCACAAUAAUAAAUGAGUAAGGGAAGAGACAACAAACAUAAGGAUUUUUACGUGGUUCGACAAUCCCUGCCUACGUCCACGCCUCCAAGCACACCGGACUUGAGGAUUUCAUUAUCGAAGCCUUCCAAGGCUUCAAAUACUUACGAUUGACUUCCAAGGUGUCAAUGAACCUUUACAAUAAGAGAUUAUCCCUAAUCUCUUAACCCAAGUGUAUCCCAACACUUACAACCUCUCAAUUUGAUUUUACAAAAAGGAUUAUAAAAACUUUUCUCACACAAUGUGUUUGAAUACAAAUGAAAGCCCAAUAUGUGUGAAUAAAUGAAAUGAAUACACAAAGUUUAUGCUUUUAGAUUUGCAGAGAAAUGCUCAAAAUAUUAAUGGUUGCAUCAUAUCAAAUGAGUUUGAUUUGAGUCAAUUUAUAGUUGAGGAAGAAAACUAGAUAUUAUUAACUUUUUGGUGAUAACUAACUUGCCGCUUUUGUGAAUCUGGUUAGCUGUUUUAUAUUACCGUUAUGUUCAAAAAUUUAAAUUUUUGCACAUCCGAUAUGCCGCUUCCUGAAUCCAGUUAGCCGCUUUCAUUCCAGAGAGUUUUUGCCCAUAAUCGGUUUGCCGCUUUCUUUAAUCCGGAUCGGUUAGCCGCUUUGCUACAGUGACCGCUGCAGUGAACUAUUUUCUAAAAUUAUAGUUUGCUCUAAAACUUUAUAUAAUUGCAUUAUGGCCCCAAAAUCAUAAAACUUUACAAAGACGUCCAAUUUCAGAAUUUCUAAAUAAUGCUUGUUAUUCUCAAAACUUUGUGAAAUUAUGAUAUGGCCCAAAUAUGUGGAAAUUAUAGAUGGCUCAAAAUGUUUUAAAUAUUUACAAAUAGGCCCAAAUUCAGAAUUUAAAACAAUACUUAUUAAAAUCAAUCUUUUUCAUUUUCGUCCACAUCUUGAAAACAUAACUAAUUUCAUAAAAUCAUUUUCUUAUUAUAAAAUCAUAAUGUGUACUUAUUUUUUAUCCAAAACAUGUGGUUUGUUAUCAUCAAAAUCAAUCAUUUUAUAGUUAUGUAGGCUAACAAUCAAGCCUUUCUCUACUGUCAUGAGUCACCGCCAUGCCACUGUGCCACCGGCAGCUAACAACCAAUAAAAUUGAUAGCUACGCUAGCCUCCCACCACCACAGUACCACGCCACUGUUUACCAAUACUCCACAAAAUCUCUUCAAGACUUUGAGCCAUAGUGGCUAGGUUUGCUGCUUUAAGUCUUAAAGAGUAUCUUUAAAUCUUGCUUCUUCAAAUGUUCAAAAGUUAAAACAACAAUUUUAGGUCUCAAAUCUUGCUUCUUCAAGUCUUAAAGAGAAUCUUCAAUUGCUAGUUAUAUUUUAAUUGCCAAUUAUGUUAGAGGGUAUUAACUGAUUUGUUCAGUAAUUUUGUCAAACAGAUGGGGUGUCGCGUUAUAGCGACCUUGUAUAUAUCUAUAUCUAACAUUGAAUGAAUGAAUGAAUCCAUUUAUAGCUUAGAAAUGCAAAAUCAAGAGUAGUAACGUUUAAAGAAUAAUUAAAAAUGAAAUGAAAGCUUAAUUACAAGUUGUUUGUUGAUUUACCUUUCAACAAAUCUCUCGCACACUCACACACUUUGCUCCUUACACUACCUUUUUGACCUGGCUCCUACGAAUAAAAAUAAUAAAGUAAAAUUUUAGUCCUAGGAAAGUCUAAUUUCUAAACAUUAGGGAAAAAAGUUAAAAGAAAGUAAGAUUUAUUUUGCAAAUUUUAUUGUGCUUCCUUUAUGGCACUAUAUAUAUAUAUAUAUAUUCAAAAAAUAAGAGUAAUAUGAGUUUCAUAGAAAAUUUAGUUGAUUUGAUCAUGUCCAUUGAUUUGCUUUAACAAUGCUUUAUGAAUUCUUUUUUAUCUUUUUUACGAAAGAAUGAUAGAGCAGAUAAUAUCAAACUAAUUUUAUAAUAAAUGGCAAAACAUGUGAAAUUUAAUUGAAAAAAUAUUGAAAUAAUCUAUUUAAGAUUUUUGUGCCCUCUGAUGUUAGCUUAUUUGGUAUGCUUUCAUUUUAUGUUUGUAGUUUGCUUUGUUUACACCAAAUACAUUUUUUUUUUUGGUGGUCUAGUCUAACUUGCUAGAAGCUGCAUAUUCUCUGUAAUUUGCAUAAUCUAUUUAUUCUUUUUUUUUGGGAUAUGCAUAAAGAUUUGGGUGCAUACAUUACUCUCUACACUUAUCAUUUUUAUAUAAAUGAAACCACGUAACACAUAUUAACAUCACAUGCAACUUUACUUUCUCAAAGAUUUAAUCCAAUAAUAAAAUAACAUUGUGUAAAAAUAAAGAUUUAAUCAAACAAUGCAUGCAACUGCAUAUGGAGUCAAGCUCAAAACUAUAUCCUAAGUUUGAUUUACAAAUAAAAUACGUAUUUCAUUUAUUUUAUAAUCUUUCACUGAAUUUAGAAGAAAAUUGUUUUCUAAGUGUGAAAAGUGUUUGUAGUAAUUUUCUUUUAAAUAGGACAUUGUGCUUCUAGUAAUCACAGAAAAUUAUUUUUAAUAGUUUUCAUUUAUAGUUCUAACUUCUACAUAAUGCAUUUAAGUUUUGCUUGUUACAUGAAAAAUCAACUGGCUUUUGAGUCAUAUGCAUCUUUUUCUUGUAACAGACACUUACAAAGCUGUUGUUUUCAAGAAAUGCUUUUAUAAGAGAGGACAAGGAGAAAUUUAAAGUAAUCUAGAAUUCUCCAUAGUCUUGGUUACCUUGAUUUGCUAUUUGGCAGGUUGGCAUUCUAGAAUAUGUAAUAUGUUUGUACCGUUUUUGUAAAAGCUAUGGCAAGUUGAUGACGUCUAUUUGAUUUGCUAUUUGGCAGGUUGCCAUCCAAUGCUGUGAGCCUCCUCGUAGGGAUUGCAUUAUUUCAUCCAUGAAAGCAGUAAGUUGCCUAAUUAAUUCAUUGUUUUAUACUCAAAUGCUCUUUCAUUUGUUUGCAUCAAUUUGUAAGAUUGUUUUAUAUGGGUAUGAAUUGUUUUGUGUAAAAUAUCCUUAAGUUCAAGAAACCAAAAGAUAGAAUACUACAAUGACAUGGGAUAUGUAUUAAACAAACUAAUUUAUUGUGCCAAAUGAGAUAUUACAAUCUAAAGAAUUAGUUAAAUAAAUGAAAUGAAAAAUUAAAAUGUAUAUGCAUGUUUUGUUGGUUUGUUGAACGUGUACAUGUAUUUAAGUGAGUUUAAACGAACAAAACUCAUCUUUGUUUUGUAAUUUGUAUGUUUAUCUUUAUUUAAGUUUAACUUUGAAGUUUAGAAGUAUUCAUGCACAUGUAUGAAGUUUAUGUAUGCAGUCUCUAUACUCUUUUUUGUUUUGUUAAAUUCAAAUAAGGUUUAAAAUUUUAGUCUUAACACUUUUUUCUGUUCUAUAAAUUGAUUAUGAUGAAUUUAUUUAAGCUUUUCUUAUGAUGAAUUUAUUUAAGCUUUACUUUGUUUUAGAUAAAUAUUUGAGAAUCUUCUAAUCAUUAUUUAUUUCAUGAUAUGUGAACUUUAUGGAAGGGUGCUUUUAUGCUAUUCAUAUUUGUAAGGAGGGGCUUUGAUUUUGAUAAAUUAUUUUAUCGACUUUUUGAAUUUAGAUUUCUUUAAAAGGGGUAUGUAGUACCUUUAUUGUGUUAUUUAUAUGUUAAUCUUCACUCACGUGCUCUUGUUAUUUUUCAUUUAUCAUAAUUAUUAUCAAGGUCCACUAUAUAUUAUAUAUUUUAACAUUAAUAUUAGGAGAUUUCAAUAAGGUCUACUAUAUUUUUGCCUUCUUGUUAAUAGAGCUUUAAGAUUGAAUAGAUCAAGGAAAUGAUUGGUGAUUAGUUUAUAAUAGAGCACCUGUCACUACUAGAAAAAUGGGCUUUACUGACACCAAUUUAGUGUCAGUAAUUACUUUUGCUGACAUUUGUUAAUUGUGUCAGUAAUGCUCAAGCCAGAACACACUGACACUAAUUUUUUGUGUCAGUGAUUUUUGCGUCAGUAUUUUGUGUCACUAUAGUAUCACCACAAUAGUGAUACUAUGAUGUUAGUAUCAGUUGAUACUAUUUCUAUGUCAGUAUUUUGUGUCACUAGAGAGUCACAAGGAUAGUGACUCAAUUGUAUUAGCAUUUAAUGAUACUAUUUACAUGUUACUGAUUUAUGUGACUACAGUAUCAGGAAUCCACUGACUCAGUAACAUAAAAAACUCUUAUCAUCAUUUAAAUAAUUAGUGUCAGUAUUAACGGUGCUAUACCGGUUGUGUUUUAUUUUUUUAAUCACAUUAUUCCUGUUUAUUUUACAAUUAAAAUAAACCCAAAAUAUAUUAAACAUACCAAAUCUUGUAAUGCAAUUCACAUAAUACACAUUUCAAAUACAUCAGUUAAAUUAAAAUAGUUCAAAUACAUCAUUGUUUGGGGGUAAAAAACAAGUUCAAGUACUAAAUUAAGCUUUGAACAAGUAGUAUACACGAUAAAGUACUAAAUUAAUUUCGGAAAAUUUAGCCAAGAAGAAAAAACAGAUAACAAUGUCACUGAUUUUGGAGUCACUGAUUUUGGAGUCCGCAUAUGCCUUCAUUUUUUUUCCACCUACAAGUAUAUAAAAUCAAUUAGCACACCACAAAAAAUAAGUCACAGAUUUGUUUUAAGGAAAAAUAAUCAUAAAUUACUUGUAUGUUACCUCGCGAUUGUAGGCUGUAAUUAACUUGGCAACGUAUGCAGCCCACUGAUCACGAAGUUGCGAGAGGUCCUUGACAGUGUAUUCCUCAACUCCCUUGAACUUUAAUUUUAAAACAACAAGUUAUUCACCGAAAAUCCUUGACUAAACUACUUAAUUAUCAUUCAUUUAAAUACAUUUGUGUGUUAACAAUUAAAGCCAACAAAUAAACUCCAACAAUGUUACUGUUUUAUCCAAAAUUAUAUAGGUAAAUACUGAACAUCCUGAUCAUGGUAAUUCCAAAAAAAAAAAACAACUUGUGAACCCCAACAGUACGCGAUUUAAUACAAAUAUGGAUGUAGAUACAAAACCUUAAUUAGGAUGACAACUUAUCCUCAUCAAAGUAAAGUACAAGCAACGACACCAUAGCACAUCCCCACUAACAACUACUUUGCAACCCAAACAAUUGUUUUGUGUUGGGAUAUGCAGUACAUUGUGUAUAUCCCAAAUCCUAAUUCAUGUCUAUAUGAAUAUUCAUAUAAUCUAUUCAACAGUAUGCAACAUAGUCACCAUUAUAAGUACCCUCACAGUUUAUAAAAUGCAUACAAUACGCAAUAAAAAGUUAACUGUAAAGAAGCACACAGGUGUUUGAGCUGAUUCAUUUCACAAUAAAUUAAAACAAUAUGAUACAGUAUUGUAAAAAUCAUUUUCAAUACUUACAUUAUUUUUCAGAACGUUCACAUUUGUGAUGAUAUCUUGCAUGUAUUUCAUCACAUAGUAACCACAUUCAAAGCUGCUCGGCUGCCUCGGACACUACAAGAUCAAAAUUACAUUAAUACAUGCAUAUACAAAUGGAAAUAAAAUAAUGACAUGUAACAGGCCAUAUACCUUUCUUUUUCGAAGAGUUUCAGGGGAUUGUUGAUCAUUGUCAAUCUGAACACCAGUGGAAGUUUUGGGCUUAGGAAAGUUAGAACUUCCAACUUCAGUAUUGUUGUACGCAUUUAACCUNNNNNNNNNNNNNNNNNNNNNNNNNNNNNNNNNNNNNNNNNNNNNNNNNNNNNNNNNNNNNNNNNNNNNNNNNNNNNNNNNNNNNNNNNNNNNNNNNNNNGAUACAUCUUUCUUUCUCUUGCUAAUUCAGUGGCAUCAGGGACAUGAAAGUACAUAGAUGAGGUGACGAAUUGCCCCACUCCUUGCACCCUGCUUCCAUUUGGCUGCUUCUGAAGAGCUUCACCUAGAAUGUCAUGUGACCCUUAUGAUUGGAAUGUUCCUUGUUCAACCUGACUCUUCAGCUCAUUCUACAAAAAAAAAAUAUUGUAAAUUUGCAAUUACGAGUACAAGAUAUCAGCUAAACUAAACUAAUAUCCUUCUUAAAUCUUUAACAAAGGGCAAAUCCAUAUACAGUUCAAAUUGAAACUACAGAAAAUAUUACAAGACAACACCUCACACAAGUUUUAACCUUUUUAUAUGCAAAGAAAUAAGUUCUGAUAAAAUCUUACUGAGUUUCUGUCAAUUGUAAAUGUUGCCAUACAAUUAUUACAAAAAACGGUAUAUAUGUACGUAAAUAUCUACCCCCACACACACAUAUUAUAAAGAAAAUUCAUAAGAAUUAAGUAUACAAGUGACUUACUAUUUUCUCAGCAAUUGGCGUCACAUCAGAAGCAUAUUUGCCAUCUCGGUCUGCUCGUGCCAUUAACCAAGCUUCACUGCGAUCAAUCUCCCGCUCAGAAACUCCACUCUCCUUUUUCUGUUACAAGGUGACAUAAAACAUAAAUAAUUGAUUCUAUUAUAUUAUACGCAUUAGAUUACUUAUGUUACUAUAAUUACUCCAUAUUACCACACUUACUUUUCUAUACAACAUGCCACCAUAUCAUGUGCUACCCAAGCGAUGGUUGUAGACAUUCUUUGCUCUUUUGUCUUUUGCCUUCUUACUUUUUUCCUGCACAAACAGUUUAUAUGAAGAACAAAAAGUUACCACUGAUUAUUAGUAACUACCAACAAUUAAAUCAGGUAAUAUUAACAAACAACACACCUGAAAUUGUUCAGACAAAACUUUGUCAACAAAAAGUUUCCAAUCUUCUUUUUUAAUGCUUGGAUAUUCAAUAGGAGGCAACCUUAGUGACUUUCGAUCGUCCUUGUUAGGUAGAACGAAUUCAGUUGCCAGUUCACAUCGAAAGUUUCUUAAUGCAACCCCCAUCCACUUUAAUACUUGGCUUUUGCAUUUCAAGCUCAAUUUGAAUUUUUUCUGUCAACCAAUCACAUGGAUUAGAAAAAACUUUAAACAAAUCUGGAAGUUAUAUAAAAUCUUUAAACAUACUAUGAAACAAGAAAACAAAACUUGAAAAUGAACCCUCAAAGUUUCCUUCAUCUCCAGUGGCACACGCCUCCAAUCAUCAAGUAAAAUUGAAAUUGUUUCACGUACAAUGACUCCAAUGUAACUCCUAAGAUCAUUUCUUCCCUUUCCAACUGGAACAACAUAAGAAUUGUACUCAAUUGUAGCUUCAUGACUAACUUCUUGUUUUUGCAAACCUUUUUGUUUGUUUGUUUUCUUCUCCUUAGUCUUCCGUCGAGCUCCGGAAGAGUGAACUCAACAUCGUUAGCCAUCUCCUACAAUCCUGAAAAUGAUUAAAAUAAAUAAGUAUAUCAUUUAGAUUAAUAAGUUAAUACAAAAGCAAUAGCAUAUAAUGAAAUAAAUAAAUCACUUACUAGAAACUAACUACAAUAAUGCAUUCACUGAUUUUCUAAAUCAAUAUCUAUUGGAAUAACAUCAUAAUCUUUUCUGUCAUAAAUUCCUUCAUCAUCUUUCUCAUCCAACUCACAUACUGGAAGUUUGUUAGAUAAUGGAGAAAAUACAUCCACGUCUUCACAUCUUUCCCCAUUUAACUUAUAAGCUUUGUCGGUCACUGAACAAACUAUUGAUUUAUUAUUAUCUAGCUAGUCCUUUACAUAAAAUACUUGCUUUGCAUGACAAGCCAGAAUAAAGCAAUCAGAUUUAUAGCCAAUCCGAUUUAAAUCAACUACAGUGAAACCUAAAUUGUCAGUGCAAACCCCUCUAUCAUCUACCCAAUCACACUUGAAAAGUGUUUUUUUUACCAUUAGAUAAUCAAGCUGCCAAAUCUCAUCAAUGACUCCAUAAAACGUCAUGUCUCUAAAAUGAGGACUUUUAUCUUUUGAGCUUGAAAUCUGUAGAGUGUUAGCACAACCCUAACACCACUAUUUUGGGUCACACGAUUACAGUCUCGGUCCCUCGUUGUAAAAUUGAAGCCAUUUAUCUCGUAGCCAAAGAAGGUCACCAUGCUUGAGCAUGGUUUGUUUGCCAACCAACACACUAUUUCGUCAAUCGGCACAUUAUUUGCUUUAUCAUGUGCCACCUAUAAAUUAAAUUAACAAGUACAGUAAUUAGUAACAUGUAGAAAAAUCUUGUUAAGUUUAUAUCCUAUAUUGUAUUUAGUUAAGUAAUUCUAACCUUUACUUGUAACCAACCAGAAAAUGUACGUAUGUGUUCAUUUUGCAACCACAUAUUUGUUUUUGCCUUAUAGGGGUUUCUUGAUGCCAAAUAAUGCAUAUGCUCCCUACAGUGAGACAUAUUAAGAUUUAAAAACUAGUAUAUUAAUCUAAUAAUAUAAUAGUAAUGUUUUUUUGGAAAAAUUAACAACUUACUCGAUAUAUAUUUAGAUUUCAGGGGUGUUUAUUAGAACACACCGGUGUGCUUGUGCCAACAAAUGAUCAUUAACCACCUUUAUGUUUGCACCUCCCAAAGGCUUUUCGAUAGAUAAAUCAGUUGGACAACUAGUAGGCAGUCCAAUAACAUCACAAUUUGAGAGGUACUCAGCACAAAAUGCAAGUGCUUCUUCUACAAUAUAACUUUCUACAAUACAACCCUCAGGACGGUAGCAAUUAUGAACAUAAUCCUUGAGAGUUUUCAUUUGUCUCUCAAAAUGAUACAUCCAUCGAAGAUAAAUAGGCUCACAUAACCUAACUUGUUCAACUAAGUGGAUUGUUAAAUGGAUCAUUAUGUCAAAAAAGCUAGGUGGGAAGUACUGCUGCAGUAAGCAUAAAGUGAUUACAAGUUCCUCUUGCAAUUGGUCAAGAGUAUUAGGAUCUACCGCUUUACAGCACAAUGUAUUAAAAAAUAAGCACAUCCUGAUUAUGGCACUUCUCACAUUUAUAGGCAAACAGUUUCGAAUGGCUAGUGGUAGAAAUUAUUGCAUCAAAGUAUGACAGUCAUGGGACUUAAGGCCUUGAAGCCGACAAUCAUCUAUUGAAACAAGGUUUUGGACAUUGGAAUAAUACCCAUCAGGGACUUUCACACUCAGCAAGGUUUUACAAAACUAUUUUUUUUCUUUUUUACUCAAAGUAUAAGGAGCUGGAGGUAGGACUUUGUUUUUUUUGUUUGUUUCAUCAGGAACUAGUUUUCCCCUGAUCUUCAAAGACUUAAGAUCUUUUCUAGCAUUAAUCCCAUCUUUUGUUUUGCCUGGUUGAUGAAGUAAUGUGCCAUAUAUGUUCUCGCACACAUUUUUUUCAAUGUGCAUCACACAUCUAAUUGAUGGCGAACUAAUAAAUGCUUCCAAUAAUCUAACUAAAAAAAGAUUGACUUUUUUUUGUACAAUUUUUUAGUUAUGUUCUCAUCAACAUCACCGCCUUCAUGUUUCCGCUUUUUGGCCUUCUUUUUCCCGAACUUAAUAUCUAUAUCUUCCACCAUAUUAAAGAUUUCCUCACCAGACAAAGUUUUAGGAGGCUCAUUCCACUCUUGCUUCCCAUUAAAAACCUUUUUCAGUUUCCGAAAUAGGUGACCGAGUGGUAGAAAGCGGCGAUGGCCCAUAUAUGACAUUUUCCUACUAUGUGGCAGCCAACAUGCACAAGUGUCUAUCCCACAAAUUGGGCAAGCAUAAUAGCCCUUAACAGUACAACCAGGGAGGUUUUCGUAUGUUGGAAAGUCACUGAUUGUCCACAUCAAGACAGCCCGUAAAUUAAAGGUUUCUUUUCUAUAAGAAUCAUAUACAUCAAUACCUACAUCCCAUAGAGUUUUUAAGUCCUCAAUCAAAGGUGCUAGGUAUACAUCUAGAUCAUUUCCAGGUUGUUUAGGGCCAUAUAUCAAAAGUGACAACAUCAAAAACUUUCUCUUCAUACACAACCAUGGAGGAAGAUUAUAUGUUAUUAAUAUAACAGGCCAACAACUAUAAGUAGUGCUAAGUGUACUAUGUAGGUUAACCCCAUCAGUUGAGAGAGCUAAACGUAGAUUUCUAGGUUCUUGUGCAAAUUUUGGCCAUUUAUUGUCAAUUAGUUGCCAGGCUGGUGAGUCUGCUGGGUGGCGAAGUUUGCCAUGUUAAAUUUUGAGUUGUUUGUGGUGAUUGAAACAAUCUUUUCAACCUAGGAAUAGGUGGAAAAUACCAUAAUACCUUUUUAGGAACCCCUUUCCUAAAUUAUGUUGAGCUAUCUUUUUUUAUUUGAUACCUAGAUGCUCCACAAUUUGGGCAUUCAGUAAGAUCAGAAAAUUCAUUCCUAUACAAAAUGCAGUCAUUUGGACAUGCAUGUAUUUUUUCAUACUCUAAGCCUAGCACUUUCAUUGUUUUCUUAACCUCGUACAUUGACAUAGGUAGAGUAUUAUUAUUUGGCAAAAUAUCAGCAAGGACUUCUAACAAAGCAGAAAACCCUUUAUCGGACCACCCAUAGUUCCCUUUCACAUUGUAAAGUCUCAUUAAACUAGAUAACUUUGAAUGUUUUGCACCCGGGUACAAAGGCUUUUCAGCAUCUUCAAGCAUAUCCUUAAAAGAACUAGGAUCUCUAUCACAAUGCUCGUAAGCAUCUUCGACCAUGUCAAUUAUAUUACUGUAAUCAUGACAUCUAAAUCUUUGACUAUGUGAAUGGUCUUCACAGUUUGUAAAUGUAGAUUUAGAGUCAGUCUCACCAUGCCAAGUCCAAACAAUAUAUCUUGGGAGAAAACCUUUUUCAAAUAAAUGAUCCUUCACUUGUUGAGGAGUAUGAAACUCCAUAUUACAACAAAAGGUGCAAGGACAUCUAAUUGACAUUCGAUUUUCAGCAUUCAAAAUGGCAAAAUCUAAGAAAUCAGCAACUCCAGAACGAUACUCUACAGACAAUCUAUCACAAGUUAUCCAACUUCUGUCCAUUUCAAAUAUUUUACCUGUUCACAUAUGUAAUGUCAGUUUAAGUUUAAUUAAAUUGCAUGAUUAAUUUAAAGUUCAAUGUUAUUAUGAUUAUAGUUGUAAUAAUAAACUUAUAAUUCUGGAAAAUCAUUAAUAGCCCUAUAAAUCAUUAAUUAUAAUAAUAAUUUAGACAAAAUCAUGAAAUUGAAACAAAAUAAGUUUUGAAACUUAAAUAGGAGAUUAAUAGGUAAGAUGGGUGCUAAUGGCUUUUUAAGUAGUCGAACUAAUUCAUAAGUCAAGUAACUAACAAAAGUUAAGAGUUCAAAUAAAUAAUGUCUUCAUACCACUUUGCAAGCCAUUUUUUAAGAUUCUAUAAAUCAUUUUUUAACUUCAAAUAAAACAUGCAGAACUACUUUAAAACAAGCAUUUCUUUAUUGAAUCAAACACAAAUCAUCAACUUUAUACAAUCUCAAAAUACUCACAACCACGAACUUAAUUAAUUCAUAUCAUAGUCAUUGUCUCUAUUACAAAUCGUCCAACCAAAACAGAAUAAAUAAACAAGUAGGAUUAUAUAACAACAUUUGCCUCUUUUUACAUGAAACAGAGAUGUAAAUAGUUUGUAACCACUAAAUACAAAGUCAUUCAGCCAAUAUAACACCCAAACAAUCAUCUCCUAAUCACAAAGGCAAACCCUAAAAUCAAAUUUCAUAUUUUAGUACAUUCAAAAUCAACUAACUUAUUGCUCAAAGUUAAGAAACGAAGCUAACAAUUUAUUUCAGAAACUAACAAAAAUGCACAUUCUUAGUUUUAAAUAACAAUGACAGUAAAUCACAUGCACAAAAGUUUGAAACUGACCUCAAAUGUGGCAGAAAAAACAGAGUCGCAGCAGCAAGUGUUUUGAGUUUAAGUAAUGCACCACUUAAAAUGCCUGUAUUUUUGGACUGCAUGUGAGUGAAGAUAUAGAAAAAUAAGAACAAAAAUUUCAAGUUACGAAUAAAUAAAUAAAAAGAUUUGGAAAACAAAACCCACCAGGGUUGCACGACUGUUCANNNNNNNNNNNNNNNNNNNNNNNNNNNNNNNNNNNNNNNNNNNNNNNNNNNNNNNNNNNNNNNNNNNNNNNNNNNNNNNNNNNNNNNNNNNNNNNNNNNNAAACAACCCAAAAAUAAAAAUUCAAAAAUAUUAUUCAUAAGCCAAAUUAAAACAAACCCAAUAAUUAAAUUGCACAAAAAAAUAAAACAUUCUGCCAUUACCAGCUGAUAACCUCCUCUACAGUUCUUUCUCUGGACUUAACUUGUCAGGGAGAAUGAGAUUACCUGAAUACCGAACCGAUGGUGCCACUUCACCCCUUGUCGAUGGCUUUUACUUGCUUGCCUAGUAUAGGCACUGGAUGGUUAAGUUGGAGAAAAACCCCUUCGAUAACAAGCGAUUAAGGUUUUGGUUUGUGUUUCAAUUUGGGGAAAAUGGAAAAACGAAAUAGAGUUUUAGGUUUUCAUUAUCUAUCUAAAUUAAUUGAAUUUAAUUUGUAAAUGGAUAGUGCAAAACAGAAGAGAUCGAGAAGAGAAAAACGAAAGCGAAAGUGAACGAUGAAAGCAAGAUAGAGACAGUCGAUAUAGUCUAGAUGGGGAGAACAAGUGUGUUUUAUGUUGUCGUUAUUUAUAUUUUCAUUUUUUAAUAAUUUAAAUAUUAUUAUGACUUUGACUCAUCGAGAUUUGAUGGUCUGUGCUCCAAACAUUAAAGCUUUAAAUCUUAGAGCUCUCAGGUUCGAGUUGGAGUUAAAACAAAAUUUUUAUGAAUUUUUUUUAUCAUUGAUACUUUAGUGUUAGUGAUUUUUUAUGUUUAGUUCACUGACAUCCUAGUAUCAUUAAUCUCUUAUUCCUAUUUGUCAAAAGCGGAAAAUGGUGCAUAUGUACAUAAGUACUGACACUUUUUGCAAAGUGUCAGUAACGAAGUGUCAGUAAAGCCCAUUUUUCUAGUAGUGAUGUGAAUUUUGUAAAUCUUAAUUUAAUAUAACGCUUUAAUUGUUAGGAGCUAGCAAUAAGUUGGUUGGGGAGUGUGAUUAGUGUUAAAAAUUGUAUGUUUAUUAAGGGGUAAAAAUAUUAUUUUACGCUUAUAAUAUAAUUUACAUUUGUAAUUAUGUAACAUAUUAUGAAUUUCUACUUAAAUAUUUGAUUUUGUGUAUUUUUGUGUGUUUAUUAGGUAAAAAUAAUAAUUUCACACAAUUUGAGGCUCCAAACAAAUGUACGGAUGUGAAAUUUGAAUUCCGGAAGUCUGAGAAAUUAGGUCAUUAUUGAGGAGGAUCCACCACUUUUGUUGUAAAUUUAUAAGUUUUUACCACGGUAAAUGUGGUAGUUGUGAAUAUAUAAGUUUUUGCUAAUGUGUUGGAUGUGCUUAAGUGGAUUAAGUUAGGUUUAUAUUUUGUUAGUGGGACAAAUGUAUGGCUAAAAUGUAAUUAGCUUUAUUUAUUUGUGUGGUGUAAAUUAAUCAUGUAUUAGUAUAAAUAGAGGGGGGGAGACACACCUCUCCACACAUUUCCUUCUCUUCUUUCCCCUCAAAUUUCUUCUUCUCAUCUCUCUUUGUAAUAUAUUUUCAAUAAAUAAAAUUAGUUUUAUUUUUAAUUUUCAAAUACUUUUUUUAAUUAUCAAAUACUUUUUUUAAUUAUGUUUUUUAUUUUAAUAAUUCCAUUUAUUUCAAUUAUGUUUGGCUAAAUACCAAUAGUUAGGCGAAGGUGAAACUCUUAGUAAAAACAUAUGAUUUAAUCAAAUUUUAUUUUUAAUUAUAUAAAUUAAAUUAUUUCUAUUUAAUUUUAUCCAUAUUUUAAAUUUUUAAAUUUUGAUUUAUUGUAGAAAAAUAUAGGAUUUUGGCAAAAUGAAUUCUUAAUAUCUUAGUAUAAAGUAUGGUAAAAUGGUAUUUUGACUUAUUGUAAACAAGUUAAGUUUUGACACAUUAAGUACUUAAUCCACAAUAAAAUUAAUAGGAAAAUAAUUGUAAUUUAUACAAUUAAUCUUUUGGGUAAUAAAAUAAAAAAAAUAUUAUUAAAUUGUAUUUAUUACUAAGAGUGGAUCCAUAACCCUAACUAAUUUAAUUUCAUAAUUUUUCUCAAAUUAAAUUGCAUAUAUUUAAAUUUUAUUUUCAUUUUUUUAGAUAAACUUAAACAAACAAAUUAAAUCUUUUCUCUGUGGAUCAACCUCGGACUCAUCGAGCUAUAGUAUAAUUAGGUACUCUUAUACUUGGGAGUAAAUUAAACAUUUUUAAUUUGUGUCAAUCUGCUUUUAAAGAGGGGCAGCCAAGUGUUUUACCCUUAACCUUUGGCUCAAGAAGAAAAGUUGAUGCUGGAUUUGUGAGCUCUUUUAACUUUCUUAAUAAUUGAACCUUGGCUAGAUCAUCACUAUCAUUGAAACGCUUUACAAUCAUCUCUAUCUCCGGCAUGCAACACACAAUGUUUUUUAUUCAUCUUGAUUGACUUGUAAUAGGUCUAGUUUCUUCUAGUGAGAAUGAAGAGAAGACAAAGGAAUAGGUCGACCUUCACGUUUGUACUCUGCAAUCUCGGGUGCUCAUGGAAGCCCAUGAGUGUGUCGUAUUAUACAUCCACAAGCAAAAACAUCUGGACUGAGAGAAUCAGCCCGUCUAGACUCAUCAAGUAUCAUAGUGAGUGCAUUCAUUGCGACAAAUCCUCUCAACUCUUUGAAAAUUAAUGGUUUAAAAUCAUGUUGUACCAUAGUUAAACUCCUCUCCAGUGAAGCCUUAAUCUCGACCAAUUAAAAUUCCAAAAAAGUAUGGAUUUUUGUCCACGAUGACUCAAAAGUGCCUCGGGAUGUCCUCAACUGCUUCUUCAAUUUAGAAUGUGACGACUCAACCUUUUAACUAGUGCAAUAAAAAAAUUUUUAUGUGAAUAACAACUUUUUUUGUUAGAUAUCAAAAUAAUAAUGAAAUAUAAACAAAUUACAAUUUUAUUAUAAUAGUUUACUUAUUCGAUGUCACGUUUCUAAAAUGCAUAACUGAGUUUGUCCAUGCAGAAACAAAUUUUUCCUUACACUUAUCUAGCCACACAUUCCUUAUAUAAGUAAGUGCUAUAGGAUAUUUUGAAAAAUCAGUCUCCAUACCUUUUAAUCGUUGUGCAAACUCUUCUUCUGAUGCAGAUAAGACUAAUAGAUUCCAACUAGAAAUAAAUGUCUGCCAAAUCUCAUUAGUCUCAAACAAAUUCUUACAAUUAGCCAAUACAUUUCUUGAUAUAUGCCACCUGCAAAGAAAGGUAGUUGCACUUGGAAAUAUUUUUUGAAUAACUUUCAUCAAAGCUAGUUCUCUAUCUGUCACAAUAACACUUGCCAACAUAUUUUCUUCCAUUAUACUUUUUAGUGUAACGCCCCAGACCGAAUUCCAAGGGCAAAUAUGUCCACAACUGACAUAUGAAUUUAAAUAACUCUUUACAAACGACAAAAUUCGAGCCUCCAAUACAAAAGCCAGCGGAAUAACUUAAAAAUUUAGCCAAACCAUCUAGUAUCUUCAAUUCAAAUCCAUCUUCUCACUCAUUAUGAAUCAAUCAUGACUUCUGGAAACUGAAUCACAAUAAACUAUAAUGAGUACAAAACCCAGUAAACAAACUAGUUUUUCUUAUACGGAAAUACAUACAUACUUAUACAUAAUGCAAUGGAUGAUAUGACAUGAUCUUUUGGAAAUACUGUAAACAAAUUCACCAAAAUCUCUUUUUGUCGCUUUCAAACUUUCUCAUUUUCUUUCAAUAAAAUAUGUAUCCUACAAUGUGGCACUUUGUGCUGUGCAUGGCACUUUAUGGCACUCUGGCCCUCAAGAGGUGGCCCCCGCAAUGUCUCAAGAGGUGGCUCCCAAUGCAAAAUCUCAUAAAACAAAAAUUCUGUUUGCUAAAAUCCACUUUCUCAUUCAUAGAAAACUCAAUGCAUUUUCGUGCUCAUGCCAAUGAACCAUCACACAUACAUAUGCCCAUGUACAUAAUCACGCCCAUUACAUAACAACACAUCAUAUAAACACAUGAGCAGAGACAUAUAAAUUCAUAUUCGUACAUAUCCAAAUAGGCUUUUCAUACAAGUCAAACAUAUAUAUUAUUUAUUGUGAUUCGUUUUAAAGUCUAGUUCACUUACCUCUUGGCAUCCUCAUGCAACAAAUGAGUACUAAUAUCAUCAUUCUAAAAUCGUCAAUAAAUAUCUCAUAAGAUAUAAUCAAGUCUAAACCAUAAACUCUAAUUUCCUCAACUAUCUCAAUUUAAACAUCUCAUAAGCUCAACCUCAAAUGUCCUCAAUAAUCGGUCCUCAAAACAGAACAAUCCAUAUUCUCUGAUUUUUAAUAAAUUAUUCCCUCAUUGGAAAAAUCUCAAAUUUUACAGACCAUAUGCUGACAUAUUGAAAGUUCAUUGAUAAAACUUUCAUAAUUUGAUUCAUUCAAAAACUAUUGAAAAUAAUUGACGUUUUAGACAUCAUCAAUACUGUCAAAUAAUUUUCUGUUUGGCACAAACUUGCUUUAAAAAUACAAAACAAUUUAUUGCUUUAUCAUAAAAACCUGAACAUUUACAGAAUCACACUAGACAUAUAUAAAAAUCAUUGAUCCAAAUUUCAUAAUUUUUUAAGAAGUGUAGUUAUGGUAAAAAUAAUUUCGUAAUUCACGAUAUUCACUGAAAUCAGAAAUUUUCAGGUUUUCAGACUUGAAUUUGAAAAAUCGUAAUUAAUUGAAAUCUUAUCCGAUUAACUUGAAACAAGUUUCAAGACAUUUUAGACUAUGUCUAGUUUAACAUAGCAAAAAAUCAGAAUCAAAGUCAAUUUGUACAAAUUACUAUGAGUUUCAUAAUAAUUCACUGUCAGCAUAUUUCUGCAAAAUCUUAUGUUUCUACUUCCAUUGCAAUCAUGCUUCUCCACAACAAUUUAGUAAAAACCAAAAAGUAAAACUUAUCUCAAAAACUUCUCCCAACAAUAAUAACUUGAUCCCAUGUGUUGUCUAUGCAGAACUAAGAAAAGAGAAGAAUACUUUUUCUUUUCUUUUCUUCUUUUUCUCUCCAUCUCUCUCUCUCUCUCUCUCUUUUUCUUUUUUUUUUUUGUCGUUCUCUUUUGCUUUUUUUUUCCUCAACCGAUUUCUCUUUCCCACUCUCUUAUGAUGGGGAAAGACAUCUUAUUCUAUUUAUACUAGGGUAAAAAGGAUUACUAAAAAUUAAAAAGACUUAAAUACCCUUAGGAGAAUUGGGGUAUUACAUUUAGUCUCUCUAAUGCCCAAAUAUACUUAUUCUCCCACUUUAAUUUAAGAUAUACACAGCAAACUGAAAAUGUCAAAUCAGUUGAUGUAACACCAACUAUCUCCAGUAACGGCAUAUCAUAUCUAUUGGUUUUAUAUGUGCAAUCCAUAAUCAAUACUCGCGAGAAAGCUUGCAACAACUCUAUUGCAGCAGGGUGUGCUAAAAAUAAAGCUUUGACACAAUCUGUAUCCACAUCACUUUUAUGCCGCUCAAUAUAUUUAUGCUCAAUUAAUUUACUCAUAAGUAGUUGCAUUUGCGAAUGCCUAGCUUGUUCUCUGAGCUUAUAUUUUCGUCAGGCAUUGUAGAUUGCUCGUAUUGUAAUGACAUUAUGCAUAUUUCUUUUCUUUAAGACAUGUAAUAUAUCUUUUGGUCUAACAUUGUUCUUCGACAUAUCAACCAAUAAAUUGCUCUUCUCUUUAUUAAGUAUGCCAGCAAAUGAGUGGCCUUCAAGAUAUUGUGUAGCAAGAUGGUUUUGGAACCCAUUUAUCACUAUCAAUGCCUAGUCAUCAUUAUUUGCCAUUUUCUGACCUUUUAGUUUAAAUGGACCCUUGUAUUUCUUUGUUCCUGUCGCCUUUAUCGGUUUUGGCUUGUGACCUUGAGGACAUCUAUGCCUAUAAACACCACUUUUUUCACAUGUGAAAAUUUUCCUUGGUUUUCUACCAUUUGCAGUUACAUCAGAUUUUUCAAUCAUAAUAACAAGUCCAUUUCUCUUUCCAACAUCUCGUGUCCAUUCUACUUGAAAAAACUUGUAACAAAAGAAAAUACAACUUACCUGACUAAAUAUUGUAUACUGCAUGUGACUAGAAAUAAAAGAAGAACUUGAUUAAUACAUACCAUAUUAGUCGUAAAUUUAUCAGUAUUGUCUAAAACCGCUAAAACCUUUGAAACAUCAUGAUUAUGAGUUGGUCUUUCAUCCUGUAUUGAGAAUGAAUUAUAAAUUAAAUAAAAAAAUUUAAAUAAUUUAACAUAUCAAAGAAAGAAAAUCAUGCUUACGAAAAUGCAAGUAGCCAAAUACUCAAAACAAUUUAUCAUAUAGGGAUGGUAAAAUUCAGAUUUGGAUCCAGAUGUAGGUGGAUCCGAAUCUGCAUCUGGAUUAACAUUUUUACAUCCAGAUCUGCAUUCGGAUCCGUAAAUUUUUUAAGGAUUCGGAUGCAAGUAGCAUCCGCAUGGAUUGCGGGCGGAUAUCUCAGAUAUUCGGAUUCGCAAAAUUAAAAUUUAAGAAUUUAGAAAUAAAAUUAAGAAUUUUCAAUUUUAUAUAUUAAAAAUCAAUGCAUUAAAUUAAAGUAAUUAAACCAAAAAUCAUAAAUUAAUUUUUGACUACUUGUCAAUUAAUUCAUCAAUUAAUCAAUCAUAAUUUUGCAAGUCUUCAUUGAGAUUCAGAAAAUGAACAGAGGGAAAAACCAUUAAAUUCAAUCUUCAAAAUCAGCAGCAAUAGCAACAACAAACUAACGGUGGCCAUUUGUCUCCAUUCAAAUUCGCCAAGUAGUUAGAUCUGACAGAUCAUGGGACAAGAUCAAUUGGGAAUGUGCUCCAUUGUGUUCGACAAGUGGUUUUUAGACCCAAGAGUCAUUAACAUUUUUUACAACCCUCUGACGUGGAGUGUGAGUAAUCCAAGCUGAUUACAAACAUGACUGGGAAAACAUGGAAUAAAGUAUUAAAAACUCUUACUAUAGAAGGGACAUCAUGGGCUAAUGAGGAAGGACGAGUGAUCAAUCGAAUUGACCUUAAACUUGUUGCUAAAAUGUGGGUCAAAUUUUUAAAAUCUAGAUUGAUGUAGUAAAAUACAAUAAAAACAUGUCAAAAUUUCAUCAAUGUCCUUAUAUUAUACCAUUUCACACACAUGAACAUCUUUAUUAUUUACGGUGUAUAAAUGAAAUUAUUAUUUAUGCAUACUGACGGCACAGAUGUUAUGACAUGAAUGAACCCUAAAAUUUCUCUCUCUUUUAGCUUAAAUGGAGAUCAUAUUACCCACAAAAUUACGAAAAUGACACUUUAUCUGAUCUUUUGAUUUUUCAUAAUUCCAUCCCUAUCAACAUUCUUAGUAUUAUCUGAUAUUUUCAAAUAAGUUCAAUCUUAAAUGUUUUUAUUCCACAAAUAAUGUGCAACUGUCUAUGUACUAGUCUUUCUGAAGACUAGCAUUGAAUCAAUGUAGAAAAUGAUUGAUAUUGAAAGAGUUGUCGUUGGCAGACUAUGUUAUGCCUUAGGUCCAUAUCCACAUUUCUUUGAAAAUAGGAAACAUUUAAGUUCAUUCAACCCAAAAACUAUCUUAUUAUAAAAAUGCUAUAGUAAUUUAAAUUUGUUCGAUUUUAUGCCCAUUAUUUAUAAUGUGUAUCAACCAUUCAUUAAAAAGAUAGAACUACCUUUACAAAAUGACCACCACUAUAAUUUUUAUUUACUUUUAUUUUAUUAUUUUGUAAGGAAAAUUUUAUCUUUGUGAUGGAUGGUAGAUAAAAAUUUCAUAUAUUGAGUGUAAAAUCAAACAAAUUAACAUAAUAUACUUCAGUGAACAGUUAAUAAUUUUCCUCAAAACUAUUUUUAAUAACAAAAUAAACUUCAAUUUCAAUUUCUAAUCUUUGGCCAAAGGCUAAAAGAAAAAAAAAUCAUUGUUUACAUCUGGGAUUUGAUGCAAUAGUCAUUUCAUCGUUGCUUUUAAAUAAUAACUCAUUUCAUUCCUAAUUUUAAAUUAUAACCCAAACUACCCUUAUGUGAAUUUACAGUUAGUUUACUGUAUAGUUCUUUGAGGACAAAAUAGAAUUUUCAAUUAAAUAUAUGCAAACCAUUUUAAAAUAAAAAUAUCAAGCACAAUUACAUAACAUUUGACUUUCUGUAUAAAUUUAAAAUUCAAAUAUAACUUAAUAAAACAAAAAUAACACUAAAUACUAUGCAAUACAUAUGUGUUUGUUGUGUUCACUAAAGUUUUUUAAUUAAGUCAACUUAAUUUUUUAGUGAAUAAUAAUAAUAAUAAUAAUAAUAAUUGUGUUAUGUAGAUUUUGGGAUGCAAGAAAGAUGGCAAAACCUAACAAAAAACAAUGAAUUUAUUUUUGAGGUGCAGGGUGUCUCACUGAAUUGGGGUGUGUAUGGUCUGUUUUAGGCUUUUUUAAAGAUGAAAGGAGAGUUAGAGAGGAAUGGUUAUGGUGAGAGAUCAGAUCUGGAGUGAGAGAGCUUGAAAGAAUGUCUUAAACCUGCAACACAAUAAAAAGGAGGUUAGAGGUGGAGCCGUUGGUAGCUAACAACCACACUCCGCCGCUCAAGUCAGGUUUUGGGACUAUUAAUGGUAUUAAGAGGUUGCAAAUUCUCUAAAAGGCUAGGUGGAGAUUGAAGGAGACCUCAGCUUUUUUAGUGGAGCUUGUGUUUUGUUAGGGACGAGAAAUGUAGAACUUGGUAUCUUUGUAUAUGGAGUACCCUGGCUGCUCUGCCACGUGGUGCAUUUCUAGUGGUGAUCUUGAUGUUCUUUCCAAGAUUUUUUUUGUCUUUUUACCUUUAUCAUGAUCAGGCCGUUAGAAACAUGCUUGAGAAGCAAGAAAGACGUUAUUGGCGGGUUUGUUCUCUUGUACAUGUGAUGCAUGUUGCAAAUACCUUCAAAAAGGUUGUUUUGGUAGUUUUUUAGUGUGGCAGCUGAGGAUCACUGCCCUCAGCAUGCUGUUUCUUGCUUUUUGCUAGUGUGACAGCUUGUUAUCCUCUCUUUUUUAGCAAGAUAUUCCAUAUUUAAUUCUGUAAAAUCAAAUAUUCUCUUUAAGCAAUGGAGAUAUUUCACACGUGGUAUUUUAUAUAUUUUAUCUAGUCUUUAAUACGGCAUACCUAGCAGAUGUUAUAUAAUUGUGUUCGAGAAUUUUAUUUUAAAAUGAUUUUAUCUUUUUAUUGAAAAUUUUUUAUUUUAUUUUUAGUGAAUUAUACAGCAAAUUAUUAACAAAUUGACAAAAAGUAUUUUAGAUAAUUGUUCAAAAAAUAAUAAAAUAAAUUAUUAUUUAAAUAAUAAGAAUUAAAUACAUUAUUGCGUCAAAUGAUAUGGUUCUCACGGCUAAACUAAUCAAAGUUAAAAAACGUGUCACCCCCCAAACGAAUGCCUUCGCAUGGAGGUCACCCGGUGGGGCAACACGCAAAUUGGAUUAGUGAGAAAACUGAGAUUCUCGUUGCUUCUUUCCAAAUUAAAAUUUUCAAACGGAUGCUGAAUUGUUGAAUAAGACGCCAAAUUCUAUUUCCACCUAUGUCGUUGUAAUGAUAUUAUAUCUUUGCUGCAUGUGUCACACUCUCACAUCCGUACAAGAAAUAUAAUAAAUAAAUAAUAUGAGAUAACGGAUGGUAAUAAUAUAACAUGCCACCUCAGGUAUGUACCUCAGAAAAAUAAUUUUAAAAUAAAAAUAUAUAUAGAAAACCCUUUAAUUUAGGUUAAUUUAAAAUGUAUAAGGAAUAUUUCAAAUUUGAUAAAAGGUUUAAAAUGUAUAAGAAAUAUUAAUGUUUAUGUGCAUAUAAUUUUUAAAAAAUUAACAUGAAGUUUCACUUAAUUAGUAAUUAAUUUUAAACCCUUCAAAAUUAACAUGAAAUUUCACUUAAGUAGUAAUUAAAUUUUUAAACACUUUAUUUGAGAUUAAAAUCCUCCAUAAAAAUUAAUGAAUUGCACUUGAUAGUCUCAACUUACCCGAGCGGUUCGGCAUUCAUUUGAAAUUGUUAAUAUAUUGUGGACUUCAUUGUUAUCUCCUAGUUAUGGAAGUGACUAAUGUAGCGUUUGUUUUUUUAUCUGAAAUUUAAAUAAACUUGAAUAAGUCAGCAUUUUAAAUAGUGGUGAAUCUAUAUAUUUUUUUUUGUGUGUGAAUCACUAAAAAUAAGUAUUAAUUUAUUUUUUCUUUUAAUUUAAAAAAAUUAAAAAUCAGUAUUUCUACAUUUGUGCCCAUAGAAAUUAAAAAUGUUAAACAAAUAAUAAAUAUUUCAAAGAAUAUACAUAAAAUAAUAUGUUAUCAUAACAUAUGAUUAUUGCGAUCUUAAUAAAAAAUUUACUUUCUUUAUCCGUGGGUGUAGGCCAAUGAUCGAACUAUGUUAAUUCUCUGUGUUUUUUUUUAAUUAUUAUAAAACCUUACCUAAACUAGUUCUGUGGUUGACUGGAUUUCUACGUCUAACAGUUCUUGUGAUGUAUAGGCAGCUGAAACAAUUUUUUGCGUUUUAGAACCUUUCUGACUGUCAUAUAAAAUAAUAAUAAUAAAAAAUGACGUCUAUUUCCACCGCAUAUGACUAUUGGCGACGAUAGACGACCGUGCAAAAAGCCCGUUUUCUUGAACUGACUUAAGAUGUUGGCUAUAUAGUCUUGCUUAUUUAGACAAUUGUAUAUUUGAAAUAUCAAUAUAUUUUCGGAAAAUAUUGCUAAUGAAAAGGAAAAUAUUUCGUGAAGUUACCAAAAAUGUAUAGGAUAAGAAUAUAUAUAUCACUACUGAAAAGGAGAGUAAAAGGUAAACCCUAAAAGAACAUAAAUUUUAAUACAAAAGUAUAAAAAGUAAAAAUAAUCUUAUAUUGUUUAUCUUAUGGUUAAUUUUUAGUAAUAGUAUUUUUUUUUCCCACAUAUCAGAUAAAUACAUCAAAUUGAAAGUGUGUCAUAAUGUUUUAUGACACCUAUAGAAAAACCCACUCUGCCCACGAAAACGUGCCAAUGAUGUUCCUGUCCUUUUUUUAUUCAGUCCGCCCCAGCUCAAACUUAAUUACGCCAACGUUAUGGAAGUUCCUCACAAAUUUACGAAAAUGACCCUUUAUCUAAUAUUUUGAAAUUUUUGUAAUUCUAUCUAGGGAUGGUAAAAUUCCCUACGGAUUUGAGGUCCCACGGAGUCCCACCCCAAAUGAAAAAAAAAAUUGAAUAAUUUUUGGGAAAUGAAGUGGGGAGUGAGAAAAAUAAUCCUCAAAUUCUUAACGGGGUGGGGUUUGAUUUUGUACUCUCCACCCCACUCCCACCCCCACCCCAAUCUCCAUUAUAUAUAAAUAUAUUUUUUAUUCUUAUUUAAUAAUUUUUAUUUUAUCAACUAUAAUGUCAAUUAAUAAUUUUUUAUUUUUAUGUAAUAUAAACAUGAUAUGAAUAAAAGAAAAUUCUAUAAUAUAAUUCUUUUUUAACUUUAAAAUAUUAUUAUGUUUUCUUUUCUCUUUUAAGAUGCUGCUCUCUUCAAAUAUUUUUCAAUUUUGAUAGCAUUUUAAGAUAUUGUUUCAAACUUUUAGAGAUGUUUUUAAAAUAAUUUAUACUUUAUAAUAUCAUAAUAAUUUUAUUUUAAGUCUCUAAUUUUUAAUUUACUAAAAUUAUGUAUUUAUACCUACUAUAAAAUAGACAAAUGAGAAAUAGGGUGAGGAUAGAAAAAUCUUCCCCACAUGGAGAUUCACCAUCCCCACCCCCACUAAAUUUAUUGGGGAAUGAGGUGAGGAAUGGAGGCAAAAAAUUAGCCUACCCCAUUCCCCACCCCAUUGCCAUCCCUAAUUCUAUCCUCAUCAACAUUUUUAUAUUAAUUAAAAUUUUUAACGAACAUCAGUUGUAAGGUCCACAUCACAAUGACACAUCAUUAGAUACGUGACUACACGCACUAUGACACAUCAAGAUCACAAUGUUUUUAAUUAAGUUCAGUCUUAUUACAAAUGCACAACUGUCUGUCUACUAGUCUUUUUAUGUUUGGGAGCUAGAGUAAGUGUAGGAUUAGAUUAAUUUUCUAGACAAAAUAUUUAUUCCAUGUUUGACGGGCUCGCUUAAAUUUGAUUAAGAGGAUUAAAUUCAAAUUUACUUUUACAAUCAUAGGAUUAGUUAUCAUAAUUUUCACAUGGGUUUAAGGAGAAUUAGAGUAAGCAAUGUUUGUCCCUUUAUGACAAUCUGUUUGUUUAUUAAUGAGUUGUUAUCUAUUUAAUUAUUUAUUUAUUUUUAUUCAUGAUUUCUUAAAAAUUAAGUAUGUAUUUUUUAUUCUACCCAUGUCAUCUUUUAUCAUUUAUUUAUUUAAUGUUAAAAGUAAUGCAUUAACAAAAUUACUUUUUAGAAACAUGCCAUUUAUCAUUUGAUUAUUAUACAAAUAUUUUUAAAAUAUUUGAUUAAUAAUUAAUUUUAUAUUGAACUAUUUUAGUUAUAUUUUAUUUAAUAGGCAAUAAUAUGCAUCAUAUAUAAAAGCAUAUAAUUUUCAUAAUUUUAGUUGUUCUUGUUAAAAACCAUUUAAUUUCACUUAAAUUUAAUUUAACAUAGUGUAAUUAAAUAUUAUACUAAAUAUAAGAUUGUACUACAUAUAAAAAAUACAAUGUAAUCUAAUUCAAUUUAAUCUAAUUAAAUUUUAAGUGUUAAUUCAAUUUAAUCAUGCUUACUAAACGUAGCCUAACCUAUAACUAAAUCAUACAGUAUAUGAUUGAUUGAUAAUGAAAGAGUAAUCGCUGGCAGACUUAUGUUGUGGCUUGACUCUUGAGUCCAUUUCUUUGAAAAUAUUACAUCCAAUUUGGCCCUGCCAAUCGAACAGAUAGUUCAAAUUGACAAAAUGUCAAAAUCAAUUCAAUUGCGUGCACGUGUUGGCUUUCACUAUUUCUAAUUUUUGGCAAAAGGCUAAACUAAUAAAAGUCAUAAAGCUGGUCAAUCCCACAACCAAACACGAGGUCCAUUUGAGUUUGAUUUACCACUCCUCUACGGAGUUAUUACACGUCACUCUUAUUACACGUCACUUUGUGGGAUUAGAGGAAAAGGCUAAAGUUUGAUUGCAUAAUCGUAUAGACCCCCUUAAUUUUUUAAAUUGUUACAGCCCUUAAUUUUAUAAAUAGUUACACAAGUCUUUUUUUUUACCGUUAUACCCUUGAUUACAACCAUUCAAUAUUCAUUUUAAAUAAAUUCCAUCAGGAUAGUCUAAUAACAACUUAAUAUUUAAGAUAAUUCAUUAUAUAGGCAAUUUUAUUAAAUACACUUAUUGUAAUUUUUUAUUUAUAUCAUAUGAUAUAUAUAUAUUAUUUUUAUCUUAUUAUUGUAUUUAUAUUAAUUCGGGUUGUUAUAAUCAAAUGGUAUAAUAAUCAUUUAUGAAAUUAAGGUGUCUAUCUGACCAUUUAUGAAACGAAAGGGGUUUAUGUGACCACUUAACAAAACCUUACGGUUGUGGGUGGCCUUUUCCCAUUCGAUUAUGUAGGAAACUAAGAUUCUGGUUACUUCUUUCCAAAUUAUGAAUUUCAAAUUCAAAUGCAUGUUGAAUUGCUGAUAAGAUAUAAGUAUGGCAAAAUUUCCCGAUAGUAAUACUCUAUAUAGAAUUAAUUUUUAGUUAAUAAUAAAAAAAUUUGAUUUCAGUUUAGACCAGUUAUAAAUAAGAAUAAACUCCAUAUUGUAAUAAAUUAUAGCUUUUUAAUCCAAUUUUAAGAGUUUUUAGAUCCCAUUUUAAGAAACUUGCCUCCACAUAAUAAUAAUUAUUAGUGUAGCGUAAAAAUAUAUGUUAUGUUAUAUUAAAGGAACUUACUUCCAGAUAGUACAAUUACACAAUGAGAGAUAAUUAAUGAAGAGAAUGCAAAUAAUUAGAGAUUUUUAAGAUGACUUUAAUAUUCUUAAUAAUAGUGCAUAGAUACAUUGUACUCAUUUUUUGAUAUAUUGAGAUUUGAUAUGCUCCAUUAAUAAAUUAUUAAUGUAUUACAUACUUUACCUCUAUAUUCUUACACUAAGGAUAAAUAAGUUAAAACAAUAAUUUUCAUAACUACUCAUCUAUUAAGUAAUAAUUUCUUCAUUACAAUUAACUAAUUUGGUCCUAAUAUUAUAACUAUAGAGAGAUAUUGCUAUUUUGAGAUUGAUUGAUAGAGCACACCAGCCUUGAAUUUCGUUAAUGUCCCUAUAUGGUACCAUUUCACGCACAUCAAUAAUUUUACAUUGUACAAAUAUGGAGCCAUUAAUCAUGUAAAGAUUGUUAAUUUCCCCCCCUAGACCAUUAUUGGCCAUCUAUUUUGUUAUUUUAUUAUUGUUUUUAUAAUAACCUCUAAGCCAAUUUUUUAAAGGAAAUUGGUGGGCUCAAAAUUCAAAUAGCCCCACCAUUAUUAAAUUAACUUAAAAUCUUUUCCGUAGAAAGUAGGGUAUUAUUGAAAUUGAUUAUGCGAAAGAUAUUUACGUGGCCCAUGAUCAAAUAGAUGUAAAUAAAGUUAACGUUAUCUGCAAGAGUGUAUUGGCAUUGUUCAUGAAAAUUACAAUUCUUUAUAAGGGGAUUGCCAAUUGCCCCCCUACAGUAAUUAACAUAUAUUAUUAUUUUUUUUAUUAUUUUUAUAAUGAUUAAAAACUCCCUUGAUAGCAUAAGUUUAUAAUAUUACUCUUAUUUUCAACUACUCUUUAUUUAUAUUUAUUAUAAAUUAAAUAAAUGACAUGAAUAGAAACUAAAUAAAAAAUUAAGCAUUAAAAAUAAGAAAUAUAUGUUUUGAUAUGAGAAAAAAAUUAAUAAUAAAUUUUUUUUCUUGUAGUUAUUUAUUUUGUAAAAAUUUCUUAUAAUAAAUAUAUAAGAAAGUUAUUAUAAAAUAAUAAAAAAAUUAUUAUAAGAAAAUUUGAAUGACAAAUAAAAAUUUAUUAUAAGAUAAAUAAUAAAAUAUUUUACCUAUACUUUUUACAUUUAAUUUUAAAAUAUUACAAAAUGUUUAUUAUAAGAAAAUGUUCACAAAAUAAAUAAUUACAAGAAAAAAAAUUAUUAUUAAUUUUUGUGCUCAUAUCAAAACAUAUAUUUCUUAUUUUUAAUACUUAAUUUUUUUAUUUAGUUUCUAUUCAUGUAAUUUAUUUAAUUUAUAAUAAAUGUAAAUAAAAGAGUAAUUAAAAAUAAGGGUAAUAUUAUAAACUUAUACUAUUAUGGGUUUUUGGCCAUUAUAAAAGCAGUAAAAAGAUAAAUGGUAUAUGUUAAUUACUGUAGGGGAAAGUGGCAAUCUCCCUUCAUUAUAAAUGGCAAUGCCAUUGAUAACAUUCUUUCACAUUUUCUUUAUUGCUGCAUAUAGCAAUGAAACCGAACAUGAGCGGUGUCCUUGUUUUUGCCUUAUUUCUCUUUGAAAUACUUGCCAUAGCAACCAUUAGCGUUAGCUUCUGCAACGGAAGUUCUUAUCACGGGGGUUGCCUUGAAGGUGAGAGAGGAGCACUUUUAAGGCUCAAGCGAGAUCUUAAAGACCCUUCUAACAGGCUUGCUUCUUGGAAUGGCAGCGGAGAUUGUUGUGCAUGGACUGGUGUUGUCUGUGACAACAUGACCGGCCAUGUGCUUCACCUCGACCUUCGAAAUCCUUUCAAUUAUUCCAAGGAAUCUGAAUAUGACGCUAUUCGGGGGACAGCGCUUGUUGGUAAGAUAAAUCCUUCUUUGCUUGAUUUAAAGCAUUUGAGUUACCUGGACUUGAGCCUCAAUGAUUUCCAAGGUGGUCGAAUUCCUAGAUUUGUUGGCUCCAUGGGAAAUCUACGGUAUCUCAAUUUUUCUGGAACUCGAAUCGGCGGAAUGAUACCUCAACAACUUGGAAAUCUCUCCAAUCUGCAGUUUCUUGACCUUAGUUCAAAUUAUUUAUUAUACGUUGACAAUUUUUUGUGGCUUUCUGGUCUUUCUGUCCUGGAACACCUCGAUUUGCGCUCUGUGAAUCUUAGCAAAGCCUUUGAUUGGCUGAUGGCAGCAAACAAACUCCCUUCUUUGGUAGAAUUAAGAUUGUCAAAUUGCCAACUCCAACACUUCUCUCCAUUAGCCACCGCAAAUUUUUCGUCUCUCACAGUGCUUGACCUUGCCCACAACCAAUUUGAUAACUCGUUCAUUCCUAGUUGGGUCUUUGGUCUAAGUCAUUUGCUCUUUCUUGACCUAGGUUUUAAUAAUUUUCAAGGUCCAAUUCCUGGGGGACUUCAAAACCUGAUUUCCCUUAAACAUUUGGGGUUAGAUUCCAACUACUUCAGCUCUUCAAUUCCCAACUGGUUGUAUAGAUUCAUCCAUCUUGAGUACCUUAGUCUUCGCAACAAUAAAUUGCAAGGUACAAUUGACUCAGAGGCUCUUGGAAACUUGACUUUCAUCAGUCGGCUCGAUCUCUCAUUAAAUACUGGUCUUGUAGGGAGAAUUCCAAGAUCCAUGACAAGUCUUUGU
RNAcentral lists this long non-coding RNA (40180 nucleotides) under Citrus x clementina. RNAcentral describes it as "Citrus clementina (C. clementina) long non-coding RNA (CCLE_LNC006771)". The record is from RNAcentral. Lineage: Eukaryota; Viridiplantae; Streptophyta; Magnoliopsida; Sapindales; Rutaceae.